Molecule: ribosomal RNA, 2775 nt
Filed under: Escherichia coli
Lineage: Bacteria; Pseudomonadati; Pseudomonadota; Gammaproteobacteria; Enterobacterales; Enterobacteriaceae
Description: bacterial LSU rRNA
Rfam family: Bacterial large subunit ribosomal RNA
Source: RNAcentral
AGCGUACACGGUGGAUGCCCUGGCAGUCAGAGGCGAUGAAGGACGUGCUAAUCUGCGAUAAGCGUCGGUAAGGUGAUAUGAACCGUUAUAACCGGCGAUUUCCGAAUGGGGAAACCCAGUGUGUUUCGACACACUAUCAUUAACUGAAUCCAUAGGUUAAUGAGGCGAACCGGGGGAACUGAAACAUCUAAGUACCCCGAGGAAAAGAAAUCAACCGAGAUUCCCCCAGUAGCGGCGAGCGAACGGGGAGCAGCCCAGAGCCUGAAUCAGUGUGUGUGUUAGUGGAAGCGUCUGGAAAGGCGCGCGAUACAGGGUGACAGCCCCGUACACAAAAAUGCACAUGCUGUGAGCUCGAUGAGUAGGGCGGGACACGUGGUAUCCUGUCUGAAUAUGGGGGGACCAUCCUCCAAGGCUAAAUACUCCUGACUGACCGAUAGUGAACCAGUACCGUGAGGGAAAGGCGAAAAGAACCCCGGCGAGGGGAGUGAAAAAGAACCUGAAACCGUGUACGUACAAGCAGUGGGAGCACGCUUAGGCGUGUGACUGCGUACCUUUUGUAUAAUGGGUCAGCGACUUAUAUUCUGUAGCAAGGUUAACCGAAUAGGGGAGCCGAAGGGAAACCGAGUCUUAACUGGGCGUUAAGUUGCAGGGUAUAGACCCGAAACCCGGUGAUCUAGCCAUGGGCAGGUUGAAGGUUGGGUAACACUAACUGGAGGACCGAACCGACUAAUGUUGAAAAAUUAGCGGAUGACUUGUGGCUGGGGGUGAAAGGCCAAUCAAACCGGGAGAUAGCUGGUUCUCCCCGAAAGCUAUUUAGGUAGCGCCUCGUGAAUUCAUCUCCGGGGGUAGAGCACUGUUUCGGCAAGGGGGUCAUCCCGACUUACCAACCCGAUGCAAACUGCGAAUACCGGAGAAUGUUAUCACGGGAGACACACGGCGGGUGCUAACGUCCGUCGUGAAGAGGGAAACAACCCAGACCGCCAGCUAAGGUCCCAAAGUCAUGGUUAAGUGGGAAACGAUGUGGGAAGGCCCAGACAGCCAGGAUGUUGGCUUAGAAGCAGCCAUCAUUUAAAGAAAGCGUAAUAGCUCACUGGUCGAGUCGGCCUGCGCGGAAGAUGUAACGGGGCUAAACCAUGCACCGAAGCUGCGGCAGCGACACUGAUGUGUUGUUGGGUAGGGGAGCGUUCUGUAAGCCUGUGAAGGUGUGCUGUGAGGCAUGCUGGAGGUAUCAGAAGUGCGAAUGCUGACAUAAGUAACGAUAAAGCGGGUGAAAAGCCCGCUCGCCGGAAGACCAAGGGUUCCUGUCCAACGUUAAUCGGGGCAGGGUGAGUCGACCCCUAAGGCGAGGCCGAAAGGCGUAGUCGAUGGGAAACAGGUUAAUAUUCCUGUACUUGGUGUUACUGCGAAGGGGGGACGGAGAAGGCUAUGUUGGCCGGGCGACGGUUGUCCCGGUUUAAGCGUGUAGGCUGGUUUUCCAGGCAAAUCCGGAAAAUCAAGGCUGAGGCGUGAUGACGAGGCACUACGGUGCUGAAGCAACAAAUGCCCUGCUUCCAGGAAAAGCCUCUAAGCAUCAGGUAACAUCAAAUCGUACCCCAAACCGACACAGGUGGUCAGGUAGAGAAUACCAAGGCGCUUGAGAGAACUCGGGUGAAGGAACUAGGCAAAAUGGUGCCGUAACUUCGGGAGAAGGCACGCUGAUAUGUAGGUGAAGUCCCUCGCGGAUGGAGCUGAAAUCAGUCGAAGAUACCAGCUGGCUGCAACUGUUUAUUAAAAACACAGCACUGUGCAAACACGAAAGUGGACGUAUACGGUGUGACGCCUGCCCGGUGCCGGAAGGUUAAUUGAUGGGGUUAGCCGCAAGGCGAAGCUCUUGAUCGAAGCCCCGGUAAACGGCGGCCGUAACUAUAACGGUCCUAAGGUAGCGAAAUUCCUUGUCGGGUAAGUUCCGACCUGCACGAAUGGCGUAAUGAUGGCCAGGCUGUCUCCACCCGAGACUCAGUGAAAUUGAACUCGCUGUGAAGAUGCAGUGUACCCGCGGCAAGACGGAAAGACCCCGUGAACCUUUACUAUAGCUUGACACUGAACAUUGAGCCUUGAUGUGUAGGAUAGGUGGGAGGCUUUGAAGUGUGGACGCCAGUCUGCAUGGAGCCGACCUUGAAAUACCACCCUUUAAUGUUUGAUGUUCUAACGUUGACCCGUAAUCCGGGUUGCGGACAGUGUCUGGUGGGUAGUUUGACUGGGGCGGUCUCCUCCUAAAGAGUAACGGAGGAGCACGAAGGUUGGCUAAUCCUGGUCGGACAUCAGGAGGUUAGUGCAAUGGCAUAAGCCAGCUUGACUGCGAGCGUGACGGCGCGAGCAGGUGCGAAAGCAGGUCAUAGUGAUCCGGUGGUUCUGAAUGGAAGGGCCAUCGCUCAACGGAUAAAAGGUACUCCGGGGAUAACAGGCUGAUACCGCCCAAGAGUUCAUAUCGACGGCGGUGUUUGGCACCUCGAUGUCGGCUCAUCACAUCCUGGGGCUGAAGUAGGUCCCAAGGGUAUGGCUGUUCGCCAUUUAAAGUGGUACGCGAGCUGGGUUUAGAACGUCGUGAGACAGUUCGGUCCCUAUCUGCCGUGGGCGCUGGAGAACUGAGGGGGGCUGCUCCUAGUACGAGAGGACCGGAGUGGACGCAUCACUGGUGUUCGGGUUGUCAUGCCAAUGGCACUGCCCGGUAGCUAAAUGCGGAAGAGAUAAGUGCUGAAAGCAUCUAAGCACGAAACUUGCCCCGAGAUGAGUUCU